CUUUUUUUUCCUUCUCUCCCUCUCCCUAUCCCUUUUUCUUUCCUUCCCUUCUCCCUUUCCUCCCUCUCCCCUCUCUCUUCCUUCCUCCUUCUUUCUCCCUCUCUCUGUCGACUGCCUCUCCCUUCCUCUCUCUGUGCACGUUGUUCAAGCCAUCACCGGUACCGCCAGCGUGCUACCCACCUCGCUGUUGUCUUCCAGCAGCUCUCUCUCCCCCUCCCUCUUUCCCGUCGGCGCUGUCAAGAGAGGAGGUUGCCAUCAUCGGUUCAACCUUCUGUCGGCGUCCUUUCAGCGAUCCGACGCUGGAUUCGAACUGUCCACCUUCGAAAAGCCCCGGAAACGACCUCCCUUGACGCAAAAAUCUCCGCCGACAGCCUCGGGAAGCGUCAUCAGAGCAGCAUCUUUCCGGCCCUGAUCCAGUGCCUUCCAGUCACUUUCUAGCCGGAAUUCUUGUACUUUCGGACUCCCAUAACUUGAGCUUCAUGUAGGCGCUUUCGGAUUUGAUUUCCGACACCGGUGGCAGGACCAGCUUCCGGACUUCGGUGUUUUCCGAAUACGCAAAAUAUUACAAUUUCGACUCACUCCACCCGAUGGCAUAGGAGCGGACUGCAGAGCACGUCAGAACUGUGACAGUUAGCGUUCAUCACCGUCCUGCAUUGUGACAGUCCAACUUUUUUUUCAUCGGGUUUAUUGUAAAUAAUCUGUACUUUUAUAUUUUUAGUUAUUUUAUACUUUGGACCUUCCACAGUAGAGUACUUUUAAUUUAUAGUGAUUAUCUUGGUCCAUGAUGAACGUGGGAUGUUAUAAAGACUAGUUAGAAUUAUUUAUGGCAUGUCAGUCGUGAUUAAUGAUAUUU
Long non-coding RNA from Ricinus communis (castor bean), 853 nucleotides. RefSeq lists it as uncharacterized. The transcript has 3 exons. The record is from RefSeq and is a predicted model, not a curated record. NCBI's taxonomy places the organism in Eukaryota, Viridiplantae, Streptophyta, Magnoliopsida, Malpighiales, Euphorbiaceae.